RNAcentral lists this ribosomal RNA (478 nucleotides) under uncultured bacterium. RNAcentral describes it as "partial 16S ribosomal RNA". It matches the Rfam family "Bacterial small subunit ribosomal RNA", at positions 28 to 507 of the family's 1533-position model. The record is from RNAcentral.
GAUGAACGCUGGCGGCGUGCUUAACACAUGCAAGUCGAACGGGAAACCUUUUAUUGAAGCUUCGGCAGAUUUCGCUGGUUUCUAGUGGCGGUCGGGUGAUUAACGCGUGGGUAACCUGCCUUAUACAGGGGGAUAACAACCAGAAAUGGUUGCUAAUACCGCAUAAGCGCACAGGACCGCAUGGUCCGGUGUGAAAAACUCCGGUGGUAUAAGAUGGACCCGCGUUGGAUUAGCUAGUUGGCAGGGUAACGGCCUACCAAGGCGACGAUCCAUAGCCGGCCUGAGAGGGAGAGCGGCGACUUUGAGACUGAGCCACGGUGCGGAAUCCUACGCGAGGGAGCAGUGGGGAAUAUUGCAAAAUGGGGGAAACGAUGAUGCAGCGAGGCCGCGUGAAGGAAGAAGUAUCUCGGGAUGUAAAGUUCGAUCAGCAGGGAAGAUAGUGACGGUACCUGAAGAAGAAGCCCCGGCUAACUACGUG